CUUCACGUUUUCGAAUAGCCACCGGUAGCUGUGGUUGCUAUGCCGCCUAAUUCAACCACGGGUUCAACGUUGUAGGUGUUCUGUGGUUUAACGUCACCAGGUCCACAUGCUUCGUUUCCAAUCAGUGCCAUCCUUGACCUUCGGACUUCCAUCCAUACAGAGUGCCAUGUUUUCACAGCUGCUGUCAUCCUGGACUUUCCACAGCAUGGCAGUGCAGAAAAAGCUGCAGAUCACAUCAACCAAGAAUGGAGGACCAGAAAAAAAAAACUCCUGCGCUGUCCCUCCCUGUCUGAACUCCAUGCGACGCCAACUGAAUGGGUGCUUCAGGAAAGAACCAGUGGAGCACAAUGGAUGAGCCCCCCAUUCCCUUCCCAGAACACAUCACCUUGGCACUCUCGUCCUUCAUCAAUAGACCGAUCUACAGCUUUUACCCUGGUGAUGUCACACGUGACCUGCCUGGCAUCACAAUGUGUGGAGAAGAGAGUGGGAAAACCCGAAAAGGAGGCAAAGUCUCUUCCACUUUGGGACAUCUGAAGACCUGGUGCUUCCCUUAUGGAGAAGCAAGUUGGUGAAGUCACCUGCA
This is a long non-coding RNA of Dermacentor albipictus, 583 nucleotides long. RefSeq lists it as uncharacterized. Lineage: Eukaryota; Metazoa; Arthropoda; Arachnida; Ixodida; Ixodidae. The record is from RefSeq and is a predicted model, not a curated record.